Molecule: ribosomal RNA, 253 nt
Filed under: uncultured prokaryote
Description: partial 16S ribosomal RNA
Rfam family: Bacterial small subunit ribosomal RNA
Source: RNAcentral
UACGGGGGGGGCAAGCGUUGUUCGGAAUUACUGGGCGUAAAGGGCUCGUAGGUGGCCAACUAAGUCAGACGUGAAAUCCCUCGGCUUAACCGGGGAACUGCGUCUGAUACUGGAUGGCUUGAGUUUGGGAGAGGGAUGCGGAAUUCCAGGUGUAGCGGUGAAAUGCGUAGAUAUCAGGAGGAACACCUGCGGUGUAGACGGCUUUCUGGACCAUUGUUGACGCUGAGACACGAAAACGUGGGUAGCAAACAGG